GACGAACGCUGGCGGCGUGCUUAACACAUGCAAGUCGAACGGAAAGGCCCUGCUUUUGUGGGGUGCUCGAGUGGCGAACGGGUGAGUAACACGUGAGUAACCUGCCCUUGACUUUGGGAUAACUUCAGGAAACUGGGGCUAAUACCGGAUAGGAGCUCCUGCUGCAUGGUGGGGGUUGGAAAGUUUCGGCGGUUGGGGAUGGACUCGCGGCUUAUCAGCUUGUUGGUGGGGUAGUGGCUUACCAAGGCUUUGACGGGUAGCCGGCCUGAGAGGGUGACCGGCCACAUGGGGACUGAGAUAGGGCCCAGACUCCUACGGGAGGCAGCAGUGGGGAAUAUUGCACAAGGGGCGGAAGCCUGAUGCAGCAACGCCGCGUGCGGGAUGACGGCCUUCGGGUUGUAAACCGCUUUCGCCUGUGACGAAGCGUGAGUGACGGUAAUGGGUAAAGAAGCACCGGCUAACUACGUG
This 468-nucleotide ribosomal RNA is filed under the name uncultured bacterium. RNAcentral describes it as "partial 16S ribosomal RNA". It matches the Rfam family "Bacterial small subunit ribosomal RNA", at positions 28 to 507 of the family's 1533-position model. The record is from RNAcentral.